GCAGAGGGACUCUCUAGAGUGGGGACAGUAGCCAAUCAGACUCUAGAAAGGUGCGGAGGGGGUUGAUGGCAGGUGGUUCAGCCUAUAGCCGUGCCAAAUGAGGGCGUUAGGAUGGAUGCGGCGGGGAAAAACCGUGACGCAAAUGCGAGGCAGCGAAUAGGGCGAGAAAGCGCGACGCCGGAGGGAGGGAGCCGCGUCCCAAAGGGAGAGAAGGGAGCAGAGAGGGAGAAUGAAGGCGGGGGCUGAAAUCCGAUGCGCGCUCCUAUUGGUCAGCUGGCAUUGACAGGCAGCCACGCCCCUGCUCGCCUUGUUAACCCUAAACAAAGGCUCUGAUUGGCGGAGGCGCAAAAGGGGCACUGUGACCAAUGGGGGGGGGUGCGGAGCGAAUCCGCAGUUCUGAUUGACCAAGGGGUCCUCUCAGUGGUUUACUUCAAUGGUUGAAAGUGUCUAGAUCUCUGUCCGAUUGGAGGAUCUCCCUUGGUCCCUGCCAUCAUUGGCUGUUCUGCUGGGUUCUGGAGGGGCUGAUGUCUGCAUGGGUCCUUAUUUGCAAAAAGCAAAUAAAAAGAUCGUUAUUAAUCCAUUAAUUAAUUAAUUAAUUAAUUAUGCUUUGUGUUAAUUGCAUUAUCUGUUUAUUGCUGUGCCUCUUUUUCUUAUUACUGCGCCGAUUAAUUUCAUUAUUGCAAUUAUAAUUUUUUAUUGAUGCAAUUACAAUUUUUUAUUGUUAUAGCAACUAUUCCAUUUAAAAAUGAUAAUGUUAGGACGGCUGUUAGUAUUAUCACCAUUAUAAUUGUUGCAAAGAUUAAUUUAAUUUAAAAGCAUACAUUUAGGACAGAAAGUGGUAGUGGUAAUACUGUACAACCAUUAUUAAUUUCAGGAGCCCUCCACCCCGCUGCCAAACACCUCCUGGUCCUGCAAGCUUUAUACUGUACAGGAAACUUUCAAACUAAAGUUUUGGAAUUUUUUAACCCAAGUACCUUUUUAGUGGCUCAAAACAUAUUUUAAUAGAUAAAUCUGCCCUAUUUAUUAAAGUUGCUGCCCUAAUAUGUUUAUAUUUUAUGUCACAGGAAUGGAUGCAUAGUUGCAACAGAUGUUUUUCAGUUUUCUGUACUUCAAAAGCUGGGAAAUCAUAUUCAUUGUAACAUCCAUCUUGCGUAGAUAACUCCAUAGCUGUAACUCUGCAAUAUGUGAAUAAGUCCUUCUUUUUGUCUUUCCUCAUUCAGCUUCAUUGCGUGAGCCCACUGGAUUCUAUGAAAGAGUGAAAGAAACGUAUCUCUAUCCCAGGGGGUUCCCUGCCAUUUUCUCCUGUGGUGCUUGUGAAAGGUCUCAGUGAAUAUCCCCUCCAAAAUCCACAGCGCACCAGAGGCUUUUUUGUUUUUCCUGCUCAGUUUGACCUGGCUCAGUCUCUCCUACAUUGAACAUGCCUACAUUUCGUUGCAUGCCACGCCUCCACAGGUGCGUGAGAGGCUGUGACCGGCUGAGGUCACCCAGGGAACCUCAUGGCGAAAUGGAGAUAUAUAUACUGAUGAGCCCUGCUGUAUCCCCUCGCUCGACAUAAACUCUUGUUGCCUCUUGGUUUCCUCUUCUCUCACAGGCUGAUUUCCCUCCUCAUAAUAGUCUUAGCUGCAUGGCCAAAGAGGGAGGGAGAGGAAAAGCUUUAUGUGUAAGAAAGGAAACAUUAUCGUUAGGAGUUUGGAGGGGUCAGUAUUGAUGAUACCAUGGGUUCCUUCCAAACCUGCAGUCUUGAAGCUCCCAACAGGUAGAAUGUAUAAGAGGAAGCCUGCCAAACCAAUUCCUUUGUCAAGGUAAUUUAGGCUUUGGCUGGCAAGUUAAGUAUGGCAAUUGAAUAUAGCCAAAGAGGUUGCUCAGUUUCUAAAUGGGUGUGUCUUUUUCACCUCACCAGGUGGGAUGCCACCUUAUCCUAGAAUGGGAAAAAAGAAAAACCCAAGGGGCUGUGCAUGGGAAUAUGUGAGAGAGAGCUGGGCUGAUGCUGGAAGCGGGAGACACAGCCUUAUCUUGCUCCGUGCUGGAUCCAAAGCUGGGUUUGGUACUUCUCUGGAAACCUAAAAGAAAAGCAAGUUCUGCUGUGGCAUUAAUGCUGUGAGCCCCUCCAUCCCCUGCACAGGUUGUGCAAAUAAAUCCAUACAUUCUAAAAACACCACAGACUCCACUGACCUUCAUUCCAAGGAAACCAAACCCUGGGGAAAACCACCUGGAACCCCUAGAAUCUCUCAUUCCCCAGAAAUUGGGGUGGCACCUAACAUUAUAAAGCCCCAGUUUACUCUCCUCACCAGGAAAGUGACAGUGAAAGUAGGGAACCUGGAGCGAUACCAUCUCCCUGCUGAAGAACCCUGUGUAAUACCAUAGCUUGCACCUUUACACACA
Non-coding RNA from Podarcis lilfordi (Lilford's wall lizard), 2382 nucleotides. Lineage: Eukaryota; Metazoa; Chordata; Lepidosauria; Squamata; Lacertidae. The record is from the annotation of a GenBank genome assembly.